This is a long non-coding RNA of Dreissena polymorpha, 709 nucleotides long. RefSeq lists it as uncharacterized. The record is from RefSeq and is a predicted model, not a curated record. The transcript has 6 exons. Lineage: Eukaryota; Metazoa; Mollusca; Bivalvia; Myida; Dreissenidae.
CAGAUUAAAAAAAAACAGCUCAUGCUUAAAUGUGUUAUUGAGCAAGUGACUUCUUAAUACUAUGGCAGGAAUAAAACACUGUUAUAAAAUUAUAAAGGAGGUUUAGUUACAUGUAUAAACUCACAGUCACAAGUGUUAACACCUGGCGCCGUGACCUGGAUGCAGAUUCUAAGCAGAUGGGCCAAAAUGGGGGCAGCUAGAGAGACUCGCCUGGAACUGACAAGCCUGGAGGGAGCUGGUUGACUGUUGGCGAGAUGGGACAACAGACGAAGAAUAAACGAACCUACUUGAUUUGAUAAACAUUUUUAUGUUUUUCAGUUUCGUCGGAAGACAUUUCCCACCAACCAUCCUGUCUUGAAAGAAAUAACUUUUGAACCCGAUUAUCUGAUAUUUUCCAGUUUCCCCUCACAACAAUUUGCAUCAAACCUCUUGUCUGCUCCUCAGCUGAAAUCAUCAUCUAGCAGUCACAAUAGUUGAGCGGUUGGAGAGGCAUGCAUUGCGUCCUACUACUGCUCAGACUAUAUCAUGUUUGGCAGACAAAACAUGCUGAUCAAAAAGAAUGUGUACCACAGGGGCCAGUGUUUCCAUUUGAGUGAUUGACAAGAAGAAGAAGAGAUGAGAAAUGUUAUCAUCAUAUUUUAGUCCCUACAUUUAUAGUGUACAGCUCAAUGUAUUGAACCGGUGUUGUAGAAUAUAAUUGUGAUACAUG